RNAcentral lists this ribosomal RNA (253 nucleotides) under uncultured bacterium. RNAcentral's name for it is "partial 16S ribosomal RNA". It matches the Rfam family "Bacterial small subunit ribosomal RNA", at positions 524 to 776 of the family's 1533-position model. The record is from RNAcentral.
UACGGAGGAUCCAAGCGUUAUCCGGAUUUAUUGGGUUUAAAGGGUGCGUAGGCGGUCUUUUAAGUCAGUGCUGAAAUACUCCAGCUUAACUGGAGGGGUGGCAUUGAUACUGGAAGACUUGAGUGUAGUCGAGGUAGGCGGAAUUGACGGUGUAGCGGUGAAAUGCUUAGAUAUCGUCAAGAACACCGAUAGUGAAGACAGCUUACUAGGCUACAACUGACGCUGAGGCACGAAAGUGUGGGGAUCAAACAGG